AGUGAACGCUGGCGGUAGGCCUAACACAUGCAAGUCGAACGGCAGCACAGUAAGAGCUUGCUCUUACGGGUGGCGAGUGGCGGACGGGUGAGGAAUACAUCGGAAUCUACUUUUUCGUGGGGGAUAACGUAGGGAAACUUACGCUAAUACCGCAUACGACCUACGGGUGAAAGCAGGGGAUCUUCGGACCUUGCGCGAUUGAAUGAGCCGAUGUCGGAUUAGCUAGUUGGCGGGGUAAAGGCCCACCAAGGCGACGAUCCGUAGCUGGUCUGAGAGGAUGAUCAGCCACACUGGAACUGAGACACGGUCCAGACCCCUAGGGGAGGCAGAAGGGGGGAAUUUUGGAAAAGGGGGGAAAGCCUGACCCAGCCAUCCCGGGGGGGGGAAGAAGGCCUUCGGGUUGUAAAGCCUUUUUGUUGGGAAAAAAAAGCAGCAGGUUAAUCCCCCGCUGUUUUGACGGUACCAAAAAAAAAAGCACCGGCAAACUUCGU
This 491-nucleotide ribosomal RNA is filed under the name uncultured bacterium. RNAcentral's name for it is "partial 16S ribosomal RNA". It matches the Rfam family "Bacterial small subunit ribosomal RNA", at positions 29 to 506 of the family's 1533-position model. The record is from RNAcentral.